GGAGAGAUAAGCCAAUGCUCUUUGCAGAGGAGGAAAACAAAAAAUGAGCCUUGUGGGCAACAGGAGGAAAGCCACGCUCGCCAGCAGGCAGCACCCUACACUGGCAGGGGGAGAAAUCGGAGCCUCAGCAGCCCCGGGCAGGAUUUGCACGAAGUCUCCCGUUUCAAGUUGCAGGUCUCCGGAGUCCCGGGGAAGGCGCCCCAGCCCACAUUUGCCUCUCAGAGCCCCGACGAUUGAUAGAAACCCUUGGUAUCACCCGCAGGACACGAAGGACACCGCAAAAAGGCAAAAGGACACCAAUUAAACAGAAAUAACCAACUGAGGAGGCACUUCUAAAGUCUACACUGGGAAAGAAAACAGACCCCAAUCCCCAAGUCUGUGGACAAACACCACAAGUUUUCAUGUGAGCAGAGUCCAGAAUCAUGUUUUGGUGAUGUAUCAAGAAAAUCUUUGCCUAACUUAAGGAUCUGCCAUGCUAAAAUACCAACUACUGAGAAAAAAAAUCAAGUCAUUUGAGAGUCGUUCCAGGCUCUUCCUAGGACAAUGGUCUUAACAGGAAACUCUUGAAGCCCUGUGAGUCCUUACAACUCCCCAGAGAUGUGCUUAUAGAAAAUGCAAUCAACAGAGCUGCACAACACAGAAGCCUCCCAGCAUCCUCUCUUCGAAGGAGUUCUGGGGCUUGUUGAAUGAACACCUUCUCUUCAUAUUCCUAUGUACUGAGGACAGUGGGAUGAGACCCCCAGUCCCUCUGGCAGGGUGAUCUUAAUCUUUUCUCUUGACUUCUCAGAACAUCUAUGCCUCGUGUUAAUCUUUAGAUAAUGUCCAAGGCUCCUUCCAACUCUGACAUAGUUUUGAUUCUAGGGGGACAUUUCCCAGUGCAUGGCUAGUACACACUCAUAUGAAAAGAGACCUGAUUGAUUUGGGGUGGGGCUGGGUGGAUGGUAUUGGGUGGGCUGAUAUGCUGUUUCCUCAAGUGCUCGAUGUAAGCAUUACGGUACAACACAGAGAGCACUGGGUCUGCACCCACGCUAUCUGGGUGGAUGGCUGGAGCUCUGAGAACUUGAGCAUCCCUUGUAAGUUGCCUGGGCCUGUUCCCUCAUCUAUAAUGAAGAGACACGAGUCGCUGUCCAGCCUACCAUUUGGUGCUGUAAACCUGAAAAGGAUUAUUAUUGUCAUUGUUUUUCUGAGUAUUUCAGGAUUCUGUACAAUAAAGACAUUAUAUAUCAUGCACUACAAAAUGAAAUUUGCCAAAAAAUACAUUUUGCACCAAGUUAGAACUUGAAGCAGAAAUUACUUAUCAAACAAGUAUUGCUACUGGGCAUGUUUUGGUUUUCAAUUAAAUUCUUUUUAACUCUG
Phyllostomus hastatus (greater spear-nosed bat) is the source of this 1356-nucleotide long non-coding RNA. RefSeq lists it as uncharacterized. The record is from RefSeq and is a predicted model, not a curated record. NCBI's taxonomy places the organism in Eukaryota, Metazoa, Chordata, Mammalia, Chiroptera, Phyllostomidae. The transcript is spliced from 4 exons.